This 255-nucleotide ribosomal RNA is filed under the name uncultured prokaryote. RNAcentral's name for it is "partial 16S ribosomal RNA". It matches the Rfam family "Bacterial small subunit ribosomal RNA", at positions 525 to 777 of the family's 1533-position model. The record is from RNAcentral.
ACAGAGGGUGCGAGCGUUGUUCGGAAUUACUGGGCGUAAAGCGCGCGCAGGCGGCCCUUUAAGUCUACCCGUGAAAUGCCGGAGCUCAACUCCGUGCACGCCGGGGGAUACUGGGGGGCUGGAGACAGGUAGAGGCAAGCGGAAUUCCGGGUGUAGCGGUGGAAUGCGUAGAUAUCCGGAAGAACACCUGAGGCGAAGGCGGCUUGCUGGGCCUGAUCUGACGCUGAGGCGCGAAAGCGUGGGGAGCAAACAGGA